Molecule: transfer RNA, 74 nt
Filed under: archaeon
Lineage: Archaea
Description: tRNA-Lys
Rfam family: tRNA
About the family: Transfer RNA (tRNA) molecules are approximately 80 nucleotides in length.
Source: RNAcentral
GGCUCCGUAGCUCAGCUUGGUAGAGCACCAGACUCUUAAUCUGGGUGUCGUGGGUUCAAAUCCCAUCGGGGCCA